Molecule: ribosomal RNA, 406 nt
Filed under: uncultured bacterium
Lineage: Bacteria
Description: partial 16S ribosomal RNA
Rfam family: Bacterial small subunit ribosomal RNA
Source: RNAcentral
AUUGAACGCUGGCGGCAGGCCUAACACAUGCAAGUCGAGCGAGCGGCGGACGGGUGAGUAAUGUAUGGGAAACUGCCUGAUGGAGGGGGAUAACUACUGGAAACGGUAGCUAAUACCGCAUACCAUCAGAUGUGCCCAGAUGGGAUUAGCUAGUAGGUGGGGUAAUGGCUCACCUAGGCGACGAUCCCUAGCUGGUCUGAGAGGAUGACCAGCACAACUGGAACUGAGACACGGCCCAGACUCCUACGGGAGGAAGCAGUGGGGAAUAUGGCAAAAUGGGCGCAAGCCUGAUGCAGCCAGGCCGCGGGUGGGAAGAAGGCCUUCGGGUUGUAAAGCACUUUCAGCGGGGAGGCGUUACCCGCAGAAGAAGCACCGGCUAACUCCGUGCCAGCAGCCGCGGUAAUUC